Molecule: ribosomal RNA, 468 nt
Filed under: uncultured bacterium
Lineage: Bacteria
Description: partial 16S ribosomal RNA
Rfam family: Bacterial small subunit ribosomal RNA
Source: RNAcentral
GACGAACGCUGGCGGCGUGCUUAACACAUGCAAGUCGAACGGAAAGGCCCUGCUUUUGUGGGGUGCUCGAGUGGCGAACGGGUGAGUAACACGUGAGUAACCUGCCCUUGACUUUGGGAUAACUUCAGGAAACUGGGGCUAAUACCGGAUAGGAGCUCCUGCUGCAUGGUGGGGGUUGGAAAGUUUCGGCGGUUGGGGAUGGACUCGCGGCUUAUCAGCUUGUUGGUGGGGUAGUGGCUUACCAAGGCUUUGACUGGUAGCCGGCCUGAGAGGGUGACCGGCCACAUUGGGACUGCGAUACGGCCCAGACUCCUACGGGAGGCAGCAGUGGGGAAUAUUGCACAAUGGGCGGAAGCCUGAUGCAGCAACGCCGCGUGCGGGAUGACGGCCUUCGGGUUGUAAACCGCUUUCGCCUGUGACGAAGCGUGAGUGACGGUAAUGGGUAAAGAAGCACCGGCUAACUACGUG